GGUGCAAUUUUAUCCAAACUUUACAGGAAUGAUCAGUACCAAGUCUAGUUGUGCACUAUCCGUCUGUCUGUCUGUCUGUCACAAACUUUGUCCCAACAUGAAAUUGGCCAUCAUGAGGCGACACAUGUGAUUACUGAUCGCUCUUGUUCUUAUAUGUGUAUAGCAAAAACUUAAAAAAUCUUCUUUGAAAAAAACCCAAAUAGCUAGAGUUUAGAUAUUAAGCAUGAAACAUCUUCUAGAGAGUGUCUACCAAGUUUGUUCAAAUAAAAGCCCUGGGGUUAAAAUUGGCCCCGCCCCAGGGGGUCAUUGAUUUUCCCUAUAUGCAUAUAUUAAAAACUUAAAAAAUCUUCUUUUAAAACACAAAAAGAGCUAGAGCUAAGAUAUUUAGCAUGAAACAUGUUCUAAUGGGUGUCUACAAAGUUUGUUCAAAUAAAAGCCCUGGGCUCAAAAUAGGCCCCGCCCCGGGGGUCAUUGAUUUUCCUAAUAUGUGUAUGGCAAAAACUUAAAAAUCUUCUUUGAAAAAACCCAAAUAGCUAGAGUUUAGAUAUUAAGAAUGAAACAUCUUCUAGUAAGUGUCUACAAAGUUUGUUCAAAUAAAAGCCCUGGGGUCAAAACUGGCCCCGCCCCAGAGGUGUCAUUGUUUUUAACUAUAUGUGUAUAGUAAAAACUUAAAAAAUCUUCUUUUAAAAAACCCAAUGAGCUAGAGGUUAGAUUUUAAGCAGGAAACAUCUUUUUGUUGGUCAUUGUUUUUCAUUAUAUGUGUGUAGUAAAAACUUAACAUCAUGAAACAUCUUCUAAUGGGUGUCUUCCAAGUUUGCUCAAAUAAAAGCCCUGGGGUUUAAACUGGCCCCGCUCCGGGGGCCUAUAUACAGGUGAGCGACCUCAGGGCCAUCAUGGCCCUCUUGUUU
Ruditapes philippinarum (Manila clam) is the source of this 908-nucleotide long non-coding RNA. RefSeq lists it as uncharacterized. NCBI's taxonomy places the organism in Eukaryota, Metazoa, Mollusca, Bivalvia, Venerida, Veneridae. The record is from RefSeq and is a predicted model, not a curated record. The transcript is spliced from 2 exons.